UUCAUAGUAGAAAUGUGUUUCAUGGAUUACUUGAGAUAUACUUUUGCUAAUA
This 52-nucleotide microRNA precursor is filed under the name Marmota monax (woodchuck). The record is from RNAcentral. Lineage: Eukaryota; Metazoa; Chordata; Mammalia; Rodentia; Sciuridae.